AAUUACUAGAGAAGAUCAGGAUCAGACCUGCACAGCAAUAUCUAUACUAUUAAAAAAAAAAAAAAAGCUAUGAGGAAGCAUUCCCAAGCACUGCAUUGUCUACAAUCAAAGUGUUGGAAGACUCCCCAGCAGACUUGAGACCUGGACCAACCAGAUUUCUCCCAAAUAAUUUAGAGGUACAAUUCAGGGAUUAACUCCAACCCAGGAUCCAUUCUGAACAGACUUGGUGUGAGAACCAUAUGGAUGGGAAGAAAUAACCUAGACCCAAAUUUACGUAUUGCAAAACAGGAGGCCAAACACUGAAACAGCAUCUAACAAAAGCUAUAGGCCCAAACAGGCACAAACUGGAACACAGGAGGUGCUAUCUGAAUAUCAGGAAACACUUUUUCAUGGUAGACGCUGCCAUCGUGGUGUUUCUGUGCCGGGUACUGCGGCUGCUCAACCCCCGGCACUGGGACACAUGCACUCGGAUGAGGGGCUGAGACAUGUGGAACUGUGCAAGGGCUGGUGCCAGGG
Long non-coding RNA from Myiozetetes cayanensis, 516 nucleotides. RefSeq lists it as uncharacterized. Lineage: Eukaryota; Metazoa; Chordata; Aves; Passeriformes; Tyrannidae. The record is from RefSeq and is a predicted model, not a curated record. The transcript is spliced from 5 exons.